This 445-nucleotide ribosomal RNA is filed under the name Streptomyces macrosporeus. Its description in RNAcentral is "bacterial SSU rRNA". It matches the Rfam family "Bacterial small subunit ribosomal RNA", at positions 1018 to 1452 of the family's 1533-position model. Lineage: Bacteria; Bacillati; Actinomycetota; Actinomycetes; Kitasatosporales; Streptomycetaceae. The record is from RNAcentral.
CCCUUGUGGUCGGUGUCCAGGUGGUGCAUGGCGGUGGUCAGUUCGUGUCGUGAGAUGUUGGGUUAAUUCCCGCAACGAGCGCAACCCUUGUCCCGUGUUGCCACCAGGCCCUUGUGGUGCUGGGGACUCACGGGAGACCGCCGGGGUCAACUCGGAGGAAGGUGGGGACGACGUCAAGUCAUCAUGCCCCUUAUGUCUUGGGCUGCACACGUGCUACAAUGGCCGGUACAAUGAGCUGCGAUACCGCGAGGUGGAGCGAAUCUCAAAAAGCCGGUCUCAGUUCGGAUUGGGGUCUGCAACUCGACCCCAUGAAGUAGGAGUCGCUAGUAAUCGCAGAUCAGCAUUGCUGCGGUGAAUACGUUCCCGGGCCUUGUACACACCGCCCGUCACGUCACGAAAGUCGGUAACACCCGAAGCCGGUGGCCCAACCCCUUGUGGGAGGGAG